AGUGUAAUGGUUAGCACUCUGGACUUUGGAUUCAGUGGUCUGAGUUCAAACCUCAG
RNAcentral lists this transfer RNA (56 nucleotides) under Mus musculus (house mouse). It matches the Rfam family "tRNA", at positions 9 to 63 of the family's 71-position model. Rfam says of the family: Transfer RNA (tRNA) molecules are approximately 80 nucleotides in length. Their secondary structure includes four short double-helical elements and three loops (D, anti-codon, and T loops). Further hydrogen bonds mediate the characteristic L-shaped molecular structure. tRNAs have two regions of fundamental functional importance: the anti-codon, which is responsible for specific mRNA codon recognition, and the 3' end, to which the tRNAs corresponding amino acid is attached (by aminoacyl-tRNA synthetases). tRNAs cope with the degeneracy of the genetic code in two manners: having more than one tRNA (with a specific anti-codon) for a particular amino acid; and 'wobble' base-pairing, i.e. permitting non-standard base-pairing at the 3rd anti-codon position. Lineage: Eukaryota; Metazoa; Chordata; Mammalia; Rodentia; Muridae. The record is from Rfam by way of RNAcentral.